CAGCCGCCGCGGUAAUACGUAGGUGGCAAGCGUUGUCCGGAAUUAUUGGGCGUAAAGGGCUCGCAGGCGGUUUCUUAAGUCUGAUGUGAAAGCCCCCGGCUCAACCGGGGAGGGUCAUUGGAAACUGGGAAACUUGAGUGCAGAAGAGGAGAGUGGAAUUCCACGUGCAGCGGAGAAAUGCGUAGAGAUGUGGAGGAACACCAGUGGCGAAGGCGACUCUCUGGUCUGUAACUGACGCUGAGGAGCGAAAGCGUGGGGAGCGAACAGGAUUAGAUACCCCCGUAGUCCCUGUCUCUUAUAA
RNAcentral lists this ribosomal RNA (301 nucleotides) under uncultured bacterium. RNAcentral's name for it is "partial 16S ribosomal RNA". It matches the Rfam family "Bacterial small subunit ribosomal RNA", at positions 509 to 809 of the family's 1533-position model. The record is from RNAcentral.